CGUCUGACUUGGGUAUAGG
RNAcentral lists this small nuclear RNA (19 nucleotides) under Arabidopsis thaliana (thale cress). RNAcentral describes it as "snRNA_03886". Lineage: Eukaryota; Viridiplantae; Streptophyta; Magnoliopsida; Brassicales; Brassicaceae. The record is from RNAcentral.